GAUGAACGCUGGCGGCGUGCCUAAUACAUGCAAGUCGAGCGAACAGACGAGGAGCUUGCUCCUCUGACGUUAGCGGCGGACGGGUGAGUAACACGUGGAUAACCUACCUAUAAGACUGGGAUAACUUCGGGAAACCGGAGCUAAUACCGGAUAAUAUAUUGAACCGCAUGGUUCAAUAGUGAAAGACGGUUUUGCUGUCACUUAUAGAUGGAUCCGCGCCGCAUUAGCUAGUUGGUAAGGUAACGGCUUACCAAGGCGACGAUGCGUAGCCGACCUGAGAGAGUGAUCGGCCACACUGGAACUGAGACACGGUCCAGACUCCUACGGGAGGCAGCAGUAGGGAAUCUUCCGCAAUGGGCGAGAGCCUGACGGAGCAACGCCGCGUGAGUGAUGAAGGUCUUCGGAUCGUAAAACUCUGUUAUUAGGGGAGAACAAAUGUGUAAGUAACUAUGCACGUCUUGACGGUACCUGAUCAGAAAGCCACGGCUAACUACGUG
This 497-nucleotide ribosomal RNA is filed under the name uncultured bacterium. RNAcentral's name for it is "partial 16S ribosomal RNA". It matches the Rfam family "Bacterial small subunit ribosomal RNA", at positions 28 to 507 of the family's 1533-position model. The record is from RNAcentral.